This is an RNA transcript of Capsicum annuum, 1547 nucleotides long. RefSeq lists it as uncharacterized. The record is from RefSeq and is a predicted model, not a curated record. The transcript is spliced from 12 exons. Lineage: Eukaryota; Viridiplantae; Streptophyta; Magnoliopsida; Solanales; Solanaceae.
GUGGAUGGUAAGCCGGCCAUUGCUACACAGUGGGAGGUUUACGGUCGGCCAUUUCCUUCCCAGCUCCGAUCUAUCCUUAGCCAUUGUUUAGAGAUUCUUUGACUCUACAACUCCAGCUUUGGUACCGACUCCUUGGCCUUUUAUAUCUCAGUUGUACAGUAUCUUGCAGUGAUAGUUCCAAAUAAGUAUUUGAUGGAUGCAUAAUGGCUACUCAUGCACCAGAUACUCUGAGAAUCUUAGGCAAAUAUGCAACAUACGAAUAAAACUAGAAUACUGGAUGCUUUCCAAUAUGUUUACAGGUUCUUUGCGCGUGCCUAACUCUUAAUCCUCCUCACACACCAGAGUACACGUUAUUUAAGUGGACCACCGGCCAUCCAGUACCCUCAGUUGCUGUAUCAAAAGCUUCAUCUGAGCUAAAUCAAAUCCAAGAGAAGAAAGAAAUAUGGUUUUGUGGAGCAUAUCAAGGCUAUGGCUUUCAUGAAGAUGGACUAAAGGCAGGUGCUAUUGCUGCUCAAGGUCUACUUAAGAGGACCUAUAGUGUCCUGAACAAUCCCAAACACAUGGUACCAACCUAUCCAGAAACAGAAGCAUGCCUCCUCGUUACUAGAUUUCUCAAGAGUUUCAUCGCGACAGGAUGCAUAAUGUGAGUUAUAACAGUUUCACAUUGUAUAGGUUUAGUUCAAAAAUGAUUUUAUUUAACAGCAUGGAAUUUCUACCCAGCCAGUUUUAGCAAAAGUACAUUUAUUAUGCUUUUAUGACUAUCUAUUCUCUUGUAUACUUAACAAUAUACACGAACAAUGCAUAUAUUGUUCUUAGACUAUAUAUUUUUAGAAGAAGGGGGUACGAUGUUCACAUUCGAAGGAACAGAGAAGAAAUUCUCUCUCAAAGUUUAUCUUAGAGUUCAUAGUCUACAAUUUCACUGGAAGGUUGAAACCUAAGGCGACUUAGGCCUUGCUGAUGCAUUUAUUCAUGGGGACUUCUCUUCUGUUGAUAAGAACAACGGUCUUCUUAAUCUUUUCAUGAUUUUUGUUAACAAUAGAGAUUUGAAAGCAUCUGUCACAAGGUCUAGUAAGAGAAGGCUGGUGGACACCGCUGCUUUUUACAGCUGCACUAUCAUCUACAAAAUAUUUCAUUCGACAUGUUUCAAACCAGAACACCCUAACUCAAGCUCGUAAGAACAUUUCUCGUCACUAUGAUCUGAGUAAUGAACUCUUCUCGCUCUUUCUAGACGAAACAAUGACAUAUGCAUGUGCAAUUUUUAAGCGUGAAGAGAAAGACCUGAAAGUUGCACAGGAGUGGAAGAUUUCUUAUUGAGAAGCCAAGUGAUGAGGCUAGUAGACCCAUUUCGCCCAUGGAUGCAAGGAGAUCACGUGAUGAUAAUGAUCUUAAUGACAUUCUUUGAUUUCGUUGCAUUUGUUUUGGAUAUUCAAUUAUGCUGAUGUAAUUGUGUGGUUGGAGUGAAUCUUAGGAUAUUAAAGGUUUUGUGUUUAAAUUUGAUUUUGUAGUUUGAAGAUACUAGUUAAUGUUGAAAAUUUGGUGUUUGAAGA